CUCGUUAGCUCAGUAGGUAGAGUGUCAGACUUUUAAUCUGAAUGUCAAGGGUUCGACACCCCCCUACGAG
This 70-nucleotide transfer RNA is filed under the name Pristionchus pacificus. It matches the Rfam family "tRNA". Rfam says of the family: Transfer RNA (tRNA) molecules are approximately 80 nucleotides in length. Their secondary structure includes four short double-helical elements and three loops (D, anti-codon, and T loops). The record is from Rfam by way of RNAcentral. Lineage: Eukaryota; Metazoa; Nematoda; Chromadorea; Rhabditida; Neodiplogasteridae.